CACAGCUGGGCAAGGGAGGGGAUUGUCCCACUCUGCUCUGAGCUGGGGCGGCCUCAGCUCAAGUCCUUUGGGCAGUUUUAGGCAAAACAGUGUAAGAAAGAUGUAAAGCUAUUGGAGAGCAUCUAAAGAAGGACUAUGAAGCUGAUGAAGGAUGUAGGGGGGAAGCCCUAUGAGGAGCAGCUGAGGCGUAUCCAGUCUGGAGAAGAGGAGGCUGAGGGGAAACUUCACUGAAGUCUACAACUUCCUCUUGCUUAUUAAUUUGGUCAUGUUAAGCAGCUCUUAAGGCAGCCUGGGAGCCAGUAGAUGGCACUCAUUCCCCUUGGCAUUUAACCAUUUGAGGACCAAAGAUCCUUGCUUGUUGGAACUGUGGCAUGCCAUAUAGAAUUGAAGACUUAAGUCCCAGUUACUGCAUUCAUCAAAAAUGCUAAACUCAUAUAAAAAGAGCAAAAGAAAGAGCAAAGAAUCACACAUUCCUAGCAAUUUGGAAUACUGUCUACCUUUCUCCAGGCAGCCCCAGAAAUCCUGCCAGAAACCUGUGGAUAAAUACAUUGAGUAUGAUCCUGUUAUCAUCUUGAUUAAUGCUGUUUUAUGCAAAGCACAAGCAUACAGGCACAUUCUUUUCAAUACAAAGAUAAAUAUUCAUGGGAAGCUCUGCAUAUUUUGUUUGCUCUGUGAAGCUUAUAUCAGGUGGUUGCAACUACAGGAUUCAAGCCAAAAUACAGAUCCUGAUGACUUAAUCAGAUAUGCCAAAGAAUGGGAUUUUUAUAGAAUGUUUGGCAUAGCUUCUUUAGAACAAACUUCAUUUUUCAUUGGCAUUUUUAUUACCUUGUGGUGGGUGACACCUGAGAUGCUGAAAAGAAAGUCAGACUUCAUUUUACUUCUCAAAGCACUGCUGUUGUCCACCUAUGGAAAGCUUCUGCUAAUUCCAGCUGUUAUUUGGGAGCACGACUACACACCUUUGUGCCUUGCAUUUAUAAAAGUGUUUGUCUUGAUAUCAAACUCUCAGGCAAUUAGAGUUACUUUGAACUUGAACCGAAUACUUCCUUGGUUUGCCAUCUUCUUUGGAUUAAUUUUGGAAAAUGGCGUGGUCUGCUUGUUCCAGAAAAUGGGAUGGGAUGUUUGAAAUGUCAGCCCAGUGAAGAAAUGCCAACAAGAUGAUGAUAAUUUUCUAAGAAUGAUCUCUGCCAGCAGGCUCCAAUAACACUGUUUUCACUGGGAUAAAGAAGAACACUAGAAUGGACAGGAAUACAUUGUGAAAGCAGCAGUGUACCUAUUGUGUCACCUACACUGACAGCGUAUCAGUUUUGCACUCUAAUGCUGCCAGGAGCCACCACUGCCCUUACACAACUUUGAAGCAAGAGAAGACUACUAAAAGCUACAGAGCUGUGGAACAAAAGCAGGUGUGGUACAGGUUCUCAGUCUUCAGAGGCAUCAUUAGUAAUGUAAGGCAUUCAGCAUUGUUUGGUGUUAAAGCUACUCAUUUACCAAAAGUAAAAUGACAAAUACACUAAUAUUUCAUAAAUCUAGGGUGAGCUUAAGAGAGAAGCUUUAGAGAGAACCAAGAUUACUUUAAGGUUCUGCCUGUUUAUCACAUCUCUCUUGCUUUUCCUUCUUUUUGUCUUUUGAACUCAUAUUUUUCCCAUUAACUUUUUGUAAUGAAACAGUUUCCUGUGCUGGAAGAUGGAUGGCAAAUAGCCCUUUCUGUGUAUCAUUAUUUGUUUCAUUAGCUUAUAGGAGAGGAUUUAUUUGAGUUAAAAAUACAGCAGCCUGGAAGUGAGCCUAUAGAAACUCCUUAAGUUUUGCUUGGAAUCAGAAGGGGUAUUGUGGCCUGUGGAGCAAAUUCAGAACAUUGCAUGAAAUGUACAGAAGAACCAGGGGUGUUAUUGAGACUUGGAUUGAGCAGUGGCUCAGUGAUUGUGCAGUGGGUGCUGGGCACUUCUGUGGGUGCAGAGGCCAUGUAGCAAGUAUUUAGAAAUUAGUGUUUGCAAAACUGGAGAAUUACAGUAAAAGUUAGGGAGGGUUAAGAGAGAAGGCAGGAAUCUGGCAGACUUCUACAAAAUUAAGAUGGCAAUAAAAACUAAGGAGAUAGCAUCUCAAGAAAAAUAUGGAAGAAAAUACAAAUUAUAGAUGAGUGUAUAAUUAUGCAAAUAUAAAAACAUUCUACUCCCAAGUUUACAAAUUAUGAACAUGAAAGAAGAGUAGAAUUUACUGCAGACAUUUUUGCAAUAGUCUGACACCACAAGACAUAGCAAAAGAUGUCUUCCAAGCAGUAAAGUCUAUGAGUUUUCCCUAGAAAAAAUACCAGUAACCUCAUUACUUCAAUGGUUUGCACUAUAGCCUUGAAAAUACACUUUUAUAAGGCAGAACUACCAAUUGCACAGCGAUAGCAUUAGUCACUGAGUAGGAAGAGCUGUGCAACAGCAGAGAUUCUCCCUUCAUUCUGCAUUAGUGCGUGCUACAUGAGGCUUUACUGGUGCAAGGGCUACUACCCUUGUGACCUCCUGCACAUACAGACAAGGGAGCCCUUUCUUGCACACAUGCUCUAGCUCAGAGGCAUAUAAGCUGCCAUUUGUUACCCCAGUCUCCACCAAACUGAAAAUAAAGUAGGACAUCUGUACUGGAAAACUAUUAGCCGAUUUCUCAUAAAACAAGCAGGCCCUUGUUUCUCAGGGGCUUGCCUGCUUUUGCAUUCCUUGAGCCCUCCCUGGCAGGAUAGUGCUAAGCACUGCAGUGCCAUCUGGAGUUGAUAAGGAAACCUCUGUUGAUAAGGAAACCUGUUGAUUUCAAAACUGGAAGGAACACACAGACACUUAGGUGGUCUUUGAUUAAUUUUUGUUUUUUAAGAUCACAAAUCCAAGCUUUUAAAAAUGAACACCCAUCUUCAGUUUAGAGAAAUGUGAGAAUGAAAUUAGUGAUGAAAAACCAGUCACAAAAUAGUUGUUUUGGUGACUUGGUAUCAAGGUUAAUUCAAGAUACAACCACAAAAGCUAUAAAAUGCAAAUUAUUUCAGGACAACAUCUAAAAACCUACAUAGUCCCACAAGCUGGGAUUAUUCUGAGUCUUGUUGACUCUUCAAAAAUUCAUAUGGCAAGAGAGAGAAUGAAUGCAUUCCUCUGCUGCUAAAAAUCAAUAGGAUCUUUGUUUAUGAAUUAAUUUGAAACUCGGGUUUCUGCAGUUAAAAUUUGCAGGAAGCUGUAUAUAACAAGAUUCCCAUUUUCUCUCAUGCCUCUUAGCUGUUCUGACCUUCUUAGUUUUUCCAGUAAUGCUCACUGUCUUACUGAGGUGACAAGAAAGAAGAUGGGAACAUAAGGAGCUUCAUAAAGUCUUUUUCCUAAACAUGAUCUGCUGUCCUAAAUUUGUAAAGUUUUUUUUGAGCUCUGUGUAGACAAAUGACAGGUCUGCAAAGCAACUGUGGAAUACUGCUAAUAACAUUUUAAUUGCUGUUCAUUAGAAUAAUAGAUAUUGUUUGGGUUUGUUUUUUUUUUCCCCUGGGCAAAAAUGCGAUUUAAAUUCCUUUACAUAGAAGCAUAAGAGUGUGAACUUCAGAGCUGUCACAUGUGUUGGCUGCUGCUGAAAUAAAUCCAAAUGAUCCCCUUGAUUUCUUACAAUCUCUAACUGUAAUUCUAAGGACAAUUUUUAGACAAAAGAACUGUUUUGCUGCACAGAAGUUCAUGCCAUGGCGCUCUGAGCACAGGACUGGGGACCUGAAUUAAGACCUGAAUCCUAAUCCUGGCUUUAAGACCGACCAGUGCCGUGACCUUGAGCAAGUAAUAUAUGUGGCUCCAUAAAGUGAUUGUAUCUCCACCAUCACAGGAUUUGGGGGAGGAUUAAUUUGUUCAUGUCUGCUUAGAAAGAUGAAAAGCAUUAAGUCCUUUCAGCUGCAGGUUGUUAGGAGUCAGUCAACACCGUGAAUGUCAGAUAGGAAACAGACAUGCCAGGAGCCAGAAAAUGUGAAUAUUAAAGGUGACAUGUUUAAAGUCUUUGUUACACUAAGGGGAGCUUUAAUUCUGACCCUCACUGGCAUGCAGUUCUGGAAUGUACACAUCUGAAGACUUUUAGGGGUAUAUACAGCAAAUCACUAAUCCCUUAUUAUGAUUUUGAAGUUAUUGCAGCUGUUGUGUGCCAAAAUAAAUCUGAAGUUAAUUUAAAACCUUGGAGCAAAGGGAAGUGGCACAUUAGCUGAUCUUACUUUCAGCUAUCUAAAAGAAAAAAUAUCUAAAAGAAAAAUAAGAAAAAAUACUUUAUUUGAAAGUUUGAGACUUUCAGUUAGAAAGCACUGGUACAUUUUGCAGAAAAAUAUUUCUUAAAGAAAUACUAAAAACCAUUGGUAUCUUUUCAGCAAACAAAUUCAAAAACAUCACUCAGAUUUAAACAAGAAAAUUAAAUCUCAGCAACAUAGAAGCACUUCUACUCACCUUGCACUCCUUCCUCAGAACUGCUUAUUCACUCUGUAAGCAUCUGUGGGUGUUACCUUUAUAGUGAUUCCCUGCCAGGCAAGCUGCAGCCCAUCUGAUGCUGUCAUUCAUGCAUCACUCCUUAACUUUGAUCCUUUCUUUGGUCUCUCACUUCACUUCCAGAAUAAAGCCUCGGUUCUAACCAUCAAAGCCACAUAUAUAUCAUGUCUUGGCUACAGCAGAGAUAGUCUCUCUUUCUCUCAGUAGGGCUGCAGCAUUCUUUUGAUCACUGAAAAUCAAAAGCCAACAGAAGUGUAGUAAUAACUAGGAAGAAAACAUUUCCCAUUGAGAACAUCCACUGCAUAAUAAUGCCACAUACCAGCACCAGAAAAAAUAUUUUGGAUUUUGCAAGAUAGGGACCAAAAGUGAAUGUGUCACAUUGAGCAUACACCUUAUAAAUUUGUCCAAAGCAGGAAUCUGUUUCCACCUAAGGACAUUUAUCCUACUUAGUAGUGUGAAAAUGGCAGAUGGGUUGCACAGCAAGGAAAGCACAAUCCAUCUCUUACUCAUCUUGUCCUGGGAGAGAGCAAAAUGAAAAUAAAACAUUGAUGACUCAUGAAGAAUUUUUUCAGGAAUGGUGGAUGUUAUUUGAACCCUUUUCUUUAGAGAAGCAAAUUAAUUUGCUGUGGACGAACACAAUGGCAGAUAUUUCUUUACACAACCACAUGCCAAGACUUAGUUUGUACUAAAACUCUCAGCUUUUCAAAUGUAUUUUGCACUUCUUUAAGUAGAUUUUUUCCUAAAAUAGUUUUCUGCUCAACUGAAUUGUGUAAUUUAUAUAAAUGAUGUGUGUGUGUGUGUGUGUAUAGAUGGAAGGAGAGGGAAGGUCAAUCUGUGUUCCUACAGCCUGUGCAUUUUCUGCCUUAUCUAUGUAUGAAAUGGUGCAGCUUCUGUUUGUUUAAAGGUCCUACACUGAAAGAAAAGGCCACCAGCAAGAAAAGCACCUUCCUCCCACAAUAGUUUGAGUAUUGUGCAACAGAACAGAUUGUAUCAGUUUAAAAAAAAAAAGUCACAUCCCUGAUAAAACAGUAUCAGAAGCUUGUAGAGAUCACGUCUCCCUUCUCUCAUUGUUACUCAGCUACUUUUAUGUAACAAAAUGCCAGCAUGGUGAUUCUAAUCUAAUUCAGCUGCACAAGCACGCUGACUGAAAGUCCAGAGGGGUGUUUUUAAUCCUCUCCAACACGACCUAAUGAGGAUGGCAAAACAGGAAGCCCUCGUGCACAGAUCCUUCCUCACUAUGAUGGCAGAGUGGAAGGUGCCAUCUGUCAUUUCAUGCCAUUAUAUUGGAAAGUGCUAUCUCCUCUAAACUCCUUGCAGCAGCUGCUCCUGAAGGCUCAGCUCUUUGUCCUGAGCAGGCAGCUGCCUCUGCCACCCCCUUGGGAACAGUUUUGUUUUCACAGAAUCAGUCAGGGCUAGAAGUGAUCUCAGAGGUCGUCUGGUCCUUCCGCCAGCCGCUGGGAUGGAUAGGCACUCCUGACAGAUGUUCUCCCUGGCAGGCAGAGAUUCUGGCUCUCUGAGACCAAACCUAAGCUGCCUUUCCUACAUUAGGAGACCUAUCAGCUCCUAAUGCGUGUAGUGGCAGUUUGAUGCCAGUUAUUUUUCAACUAUGACCAUUUAUUCAAGCAAUAUGAUUUUGUGAAAAUACAAGCUUUUACUUGAGGAAUCUGUUGUGAAGAUGGCGGCUUUGUCUUUUAGAAACAUUCUGUCCUUCAGUUUUAUUAUCCAGGUUGCAUGCUUCCUAUUCCACUACCCCCUGUUUAACCUUGCUAAACCACUAACACGAAAAUCCAUUAAAUUCCAUGGGUGCAAGACCAAAAAGCAUUAAAGAUUUAAUUUUAAAUUAACAAGGCAGCCUGCACCUCUUAGGAUCUACUACAGACUUUCUGUAAGGACAUGGGCACUGGGUAACACCAUUAAGCUGAAACGAAAACAGAAUCAGUGCCUACAAAAUUAAAGUAAUUCAGAGAACGAGAGAAUGGGCAUGGUGCAUUGAGAUCUCUUUUCCUUUAGAAUAAAUGCAUCAGUACAAACUCCCUCCUAAUUUGCAAAAGAAAUUGUAGUGUAAAUUUUCAUUAGUGGGCACACUUUUUAACAGAUGCUUAUACUAAUAAAUGUCUGUGAUAAUAACGAGAUAUGCUUGGCUUCUCUAACACCGAUUGAUGUAUUCUGCACGUACACACCUGCAUUCAAAAGCACAGAAAAGAGUAUUAUUCUCUAUGAGAAGAAGGAACAUUGAAAGCCUCAAACAGUCCUGCAUUUGCAACAGAAACAGAAAGGACUUUUUGAAUGACUGGCCAGUGAUAAGUGAAAAAAAGUCCUAUUGUGUAACCACACAAAGCACUGGAGACAAGACAAACCCAUUUACAUAUGAGAACUCAGAGCUCGAGCAAAUCCUAUAAGAAACUACAUGAGACAGAAUAAAAGAUAUGCAAAAAACAGAAUUCCUUCUUCCCCACAGAGAUUACUGCAAAUUUCUACUUCUCUCAUUUAUCCUUAAGGGUUAAUCCUGUAUGCAAGCAACUGUGCAAUGAUGGUCUCCAAAAAUAUGCCAGAACUCUGUUCUUAAAUGUCUUUCCUCUUCUAAAAAUGCACACAAAUUAUACAUUGAGUAAGUGCUAUAUAUUCCAUUCUCUCUACAGGUUAUAUGUAUGAUGCAAGGUAUUUAAGGAAAUGCUUCUCCAAAGAGCAAGGUUAUUUUAAAGAUACAAGUCAAGAUUGUGUCUGAUUUGUACCGUACUAACAGAAGAAAAAGGAAUAGCAAGACCCUUGGAAAGAACAUAGACAUGCUGUGUUCAUACAGGACAAAAAUCACAUGGCAACAGAGCUUUGAUAUUCUAAUGCUAUGAGAAAUUAAUUUUCUCUCUGAUUUGAUAUACUGUUUUUUUCAGCUGAUUCUGAUAAAAUGUCCUUCCCCUAUACCAAACUAUUUUAAUAUUUCAAUUGUUACCUCUAGUGUAACAUAGCAUAUAAGAAGUAAUUUUAUUCUACAAUACAAACAGCCUUUGAUCUUGUUCAGGAGUAAUGGAACAAAGGUUAAAAUUUGGUCCUGUUUAAGCUGUACUUUACCUGUUCAGAACUUCACUUAUUAGCUCACCUCUGCAUGCAAUGUUUGAAUUUUCCAAUAUCCAUAAGCCCUUUCAGUACAAAUAAUUAGUGCUUUGUUAAAAUCAGGAUUCAGAUAACCAAAGAUACUGUAAAGGGUUGAGAGAAAAAAAACCCAACAAAAUAUACUGUCCCUGUCACACAGGUAUUUUCAUAACUGAAGUAACAACCUUACUACACUGCCUGCUUGUGAAUGAUUUAAAAGGUUCUGCUGUUUGACGAGUCAGAAGAGUUUAAGCAAGAGCUGGUAGGGCUCAGACAGGCAACUUUAUUGUUUAUGACAGUGCCUGGUAUCCUGAGCCAAAAGGAGCUCACAAAUUCUUACUCAUGUGUCUAGCCAGAUAAUCACAGGGACGUUUCUGACCUGUGGAAGAAAUGCUUGUGAUUUCUGAAAGUGAGCAGUUAGUACUGCAAGGAGGUUUGAACUGCUAACAUGAAUUUAAGGCAGUAGUUUGACAUAGAACUGAAUUCUCUAUGCACUAACAAUUCCAAACAGUCUGCUUCGGCCACUUAAUUCUAACAAUCCAUUAUUUGCAUGGGAUUUCUCCUCUCAUGCUGAACUGAGGGGUUCUGAAAGAUUACAUUUGCUUGAAGACAUCUUAAUAAAGUCUUAGCACAAGUGCAUUUAAAAUCUGGCAAAAAUUCAAAGAAACAAAAUAGUUACAAGUUUGUAUUUUUCGGUAGCAGAUGGCUUUGUCUUUUUAACUCGCAUACCAACCUUAUCUGAAAAAUGUAAAUUCUACUGCUUAAAAGCACAUUCCUCUGAAAUCAGAUGUGGGCUUCAUUACUUAGGGCUGCUUGUUUCCACAUUCAUUUAAUUAAGUUUUGUAUAUAGAACAGAUGAAAGAGAAGGGGACAAAAAACUAAGGGAAGGAGACUUCUGCAGUGAAUAUUCAUCCCCUCCAAAGUUCCUCUGUCAUUUAAAACCAAAUAGCCAAACUCACUGCUGAGUGAGUCAUCUCAGUGAGAGCCCCUUGCUAAUCCUCUUCAUUCCUUACAAGAUGCAGUUGCCCCACAAGCUGCAGGUGCCAGUCCAGCACACAUCCAGCUUCACUUAGGCUUUAAUCUCUAGAGCACAUCUGCGUUCUGUGGGGCCACCUCGGCUCUUCCAGACCACCUCAGCUCAGGUGAGUGUGUCCCUACACGCAGAUCCCCCAGGCUCUUUCAGCCAUGGCAGAACCCAGCCCUCACAGGAGACCCUGCGUGCUUGUAAAGCUGCCUGCAGAGUUGGAGUGGCCAGGAUCAUAGAAUAAGCAGUUAAGAGGCUUUACUGCAUAUGGAGCUUGGAAACUCACAGAAAAUGUUAAAUUCAAUAGAAGAUUACUUUGCAAAUAAGAGGAAUCUUAACUAAUUUGCUAAGAAAACAAGUUAUUUCUUUAGGUCUUGCAGUGUUGUCCAGAGUUAAAUGUAGUAACUUCAAAUAAACCAAAUGUA
This is a non-coding RNA of Cyanistes caeruleus (blue tit), 8990 nucleotides long. NCBI's taxonomy places the organism in Eukaryota, Metazoa, Chordata, Aves, Passeriformes, Paridae. The record is from RefSeq and is a predicted model, not a curated record.